RNAcentral lists this ribosomal RNA (253 nucleotides) under uncultured bacterium. RNAcentral's name for it is "partial 16S ribosomal RNA". It matches the Rfam family "Bacterial small subunit ribosomal RNA", at positions 524 to 776 of the family's 1533-position model. The record is from RNAcentral.
UACGUAGGGCGCGAGCGUUGUCCGGAAUCAUUGGGCGUAAAGAGCUCGUAGGCGGCCUGUCGCGUCUGCUGUGAAAUCCCGGGGCUCAACCCCGGGCGUGCAGUGGAUACGGGCUGGCUGGAGGCAGGCAGGGGAGAACGGAAUUCCCGGUGUAGCGGUGAAAUGCGCAGAUAUCGGGAGGAACACCGGUGGCGAAGGCGGUUCUCUGGGCAUGUCCUGACGCUGAGGAGCGAAAGUGUGGGGAGCGAACAGG